This 216-nucleotide unclassified non-coding RNA is filed under the name uncultured fungus. RNAcentral describes it as "sequence contains ITS1". Lineage: Eukaryota; Fungi. The record is from RNAcentral.
GUAUUGAUUGCGUGUGACCGCAAAAACAAAACAUUCUAGACUGUAUCGAAUUUUGUGUGAAAACGUGAGCCCUCCUGCAAAGGGGGACCCACGCGGUGGUGCACAGGGUGAGAUGGAUUGUUUGAAAAUGCUCGGGCGUGCACGACCAAAAGUCAGCGACAGCCCUUGCACCUCAGUUUUACAAUAAUGAUCCUUCCGCAGGUUCACCUACGGAAA